RNAcentral lists this long non-coding RNA (366 nucleotides) under Hordeum vulgare. RNAcentral describes it as "long non-coding RNA (HVUL_LNC001649)". The record is from RNAcentral. Lineage: Eukaryota; Viridiplantae; Streptophyta; Magnoliopsida; Poales; Poaceae.
AUUCCGUGUAAACCGUGAACCGAACUGAAUUUUUUGGUUAACCAUAAAUUUGGUUUACUGUUUUAUGCUACCAUUUUUUAUUAUCAUUUUACAUAACCGAAUUUACAAAUAAACUGAUUGGCAUUAGCGAAAAUGCCUAGGCCUAGCGGUACUACCGCUGUGAGGAGCGGUACUACCUAUCAUAAAAGGUAGUACCGCCUCCUAUAUCCACUCACGGCCCGUUGCACACCUAUCAAGAAAUACCGGUACUACCGCUCCAGAAACCGCUCAGUCCGAGUGGUACUAGCCACCGGAACUGGCCAGAUUACUUCCGCCCGAGAGCGGCACUAAUGCUGCGAGGGUAGUACUACCAAUCAUAAGAGGUAG